Molecule: non-coding RNA, 73 nt
Organism: Otolemur garnettii (small-eared galago)
Lineage: Eukaryota; Metazoa; Chordata; Mammalia; Primates; Galagidae
Source: Rfam
GGUUCUGUGGUGUAGUGGUUAGCACGUCUGCUUUACACGCAGAAGGUCCUGGGUUCGAGCCCUAGCGGAACCA